GAUGAACGCUGGCGGCGUGCCUAAUACAUGCAAGUCGAGCGAACGGACGAGAAGCUUGCUUCUCUGAUGUUAGCGGCGGACGGGUGAGUAACACGUGGAUAACCUACCUAUAAGACUGGGAUAACUUCGGGAAACCGGAGCUAAUACCGGAUAAUAUUUUGAACCGCAUGGUUCAAAAGUGAAAGACGGUCUUGCUGUCACUUAUAGAUGGAUCCGCGCUGCAUUAGCUAGUUGGUAAGGUAACGGCUUACCAAGGCAACGAUGCAUAGCCGACCUGUGAGGGUCAGCGGCCACACUGGAACUGAGACACGGUCCAGACGCCUACGGGAGGCAGCAGUAGGGAAUCUUCCGCAAUGGGAGAAAGCCUGACGGAGCAACGCCGCGUGAGUGAUGAAGGUCUUCGGAUCGUAAAACUCUGUUAUUAGGGAAGAACAUAUGUGUAAGUAACUGUGCACAUCUUGACGGUACCUAAUCAGAAAGCCACGGCUAACUACGUG
RNAcentral lists this ribosomal RNA (497 nucleotides) under uncultured bacterium. RNAcentral's name for it is "partial 16S ribosomal RNA". It matches the Rfam family "Bacterial small subunit ribosomal RNA", at positions 28 to 507 of the family's 1533-position model. The record is from RNAcentral.